Molecule: ribosomal RNA, 253 nt
Filed under: uncultured bacterium
Lineage: Bacteria
Description: partial 16S ribosomal RNA
Rfam family: Bacterial small subunit ribosomal RNA
Source: RNAcentral
UACAGAGGUCCCAAGCGUUGUUCGGAUUCAUUGGGCGUAAAGGGUGUGUAGGUGGCGCCGUAAGUCAGGUGUGAAAUUUCGGAGCUUAACUCCGAAACUGCAUUUGAUACUGCGGUGCUUGAGGACUGGAGAGGAGACUGGAAUUUACGGUGUAGCAGUGAAAUGCGUAGAUAUCGUAAGGAAGACCAGUGGCGAAGGCGGGUCUCUGGACAGUUCCUGACACUGAGACACGAAGGCCAGGGGAGCAAACGGG